UGGGCGUGUGAAAAUAAAGAAUCAGCGAAGUGAAAACUACGGCAGUAGGAAAAGGGUGGGAUAGAGAAGAGAAGAGCGCAAGAGAAGCAACAACCUUUCCAUCUCUCUCUUCAUCUGCAGUGGCCCAAAGAAACUUGAAUCAAACUCGCUCAGGUUUUGUUCUAGUCACGCACACACAGCACACGCACAGCUCCUCUACUUUUUGUGACGCAGAGGAAAACAGAACGGACUUAGGUUCGCCGGAACGAUGACCGGCGGCGGAUCGACGGGGCGGAUGCCGACGUGGAAGGAGAGGGAGAACAACAAGAGGAGAGAAAGAAGACGGAGAGCGAUUGCUGCCAAGAUCUACGCCGGCCUUCGAGCUCAGGGUAACUACAAGCUUCCCAAACACUGCGACAACAACGAGGUCCUCAAAGCUCUCUGCGCAGAAGCUGGUUGGAUCGUGGAAGAAGAUGGCACUACCUACAGAAAGGGAUGCAAGAGACCCACGGGAAGUGAGAUUGGAGGCACUCCACCCAACAUAAGCGCGUGUUCUUCGAUUCAGCCAAGUCCACAAUCUUCGUCAUUCCCGAGUCCAGUGCCUUCCUACCACGCCAGUCCAACCUCUUCCUCCUUCCCCAGCCCCACUCGCAUUGACGCAAACCCCUCUUCCUUUCUCAUCCCAUUCAUCCGCAACAUAACUUCAAUCCCCGCCAACCUUCCCCCUCUCAGGAUAUCCAACAGCGCCCCUGUCACCCCACCUCUUUCCUCUCCCCGAACCUCCAAGCGCAAGGCUGACUUCGAUUCCCUCUCCAACGCUUCCUUCCGCCACCCUCUUUUCGCCACCUCCGCCCCCUCCAGUCCCUCGCGCCGCCACCACGUCGCGACUUCCACCAUCCCCGAGUGCGACGAGUCCGACGCUUCCACCGUUGACUCUGCCUCCGGCCGUUGGGUUAGUUUUCACGGUCAGAUCCCCGCCGGCCCCCCUUCCCCUACUUUCAACCUCAUGAAACCCGCUAUGCACCAGAUCGCUCCUCAGGAGGGCGUACACUGGGGUUCCGUUGCGGAGAUAGGCAGAGGAGUCUCCGAUUUUGAAUUCGAGAAUGGCAGAGUAAAGCCUUGGGAGGGUGAGAGAAUACACGAGGUGGGAAUGGAUGAUUUGGACCUUACUCUCGGAUUCGGAAAAGCUUGAUUUGUUCUCGACAACUACCUUAAAGAAUCACAGAUGCAAUUGCAAUCCUCUCCAUUUGCUUUCUUCCGGCAAUUAAUUGCGUAUAGUCAUUUUAUGCUAAGUAUGCUGCACUUGUUAACGGAAUACUUAGCCUUAAUAAGCUUUACUAUGUUUCGUUCUUGUGGGAUAUUCUCGACUCUAAGUUGUAUGUUGCGUGAGCACUUACUGCUGAGAUACUAUGAAACAACUCUGAUAUGCAAGUGAUUAUCUAUGUCGGCAUUGGCAGUUCGUGACUUUGCCGGGCGAGAAACUGAAAAGCAGGUUUGAAGAUCCUGGGAUAUAUUUAUCCUCUUUUUUCUCUUCUCAUGGAAGAUAGGAAGUCAGAGUCUCCUACGUAUGAAAUGUGCAAAUAUUUUUGCAUUGUUUUCGGAGGAUAUUUGUCAUCGCAUGAUUUAUUAGUCAUGUUUCUAAUUUUGAAUUUGAUAUUCGGCAGCAUUUCUGUUAUCUCAUGAUCAGGAGAUAUAUAUGGGUUAAUUUUGUCAAUGUGACUAAUUUCUUUUAUUAUAAUUCAUUAACUCAGAAAUAGUACCAAAAUAUUAUUAAUAUCACUUGAAACUUCUAAAAUAAAUCAUGAUUUUAUACCAUCAUAUUUUUAUAAGAAGGUAGGAAUAAGGGUAAAAGUAUGUGGUCGAUGCUAUAAAAAUGUUGUUGGAGGUGAACAACGUAGGAAUUGUUAUGUAAGUAACAUAUUUGGUAUAUAAUUUUGUACCAACUAUGUUGUUUUUGUUUCUAUAUAGAAAUCUUAAUUCUAUAAUUCUUUAUUUCUUCUCCUUUUAUGUACAAAAGAUGAGCAUGUGGACUUCUCUAAAUAUUGAUAUUUAGAGAUCAUUAAAUUUGGGACAUGAAUCUUGAAUCUUUGUGACAUAGCUAACUUAAAUGUGAAUGUUUUUGUCAACCAUUUAUUCUUAACUGCAGCCGCUGAAAGAAAUGGGGUAUACAGGUUGAGAGUUUACCUUUCAGAUGGUUUUGUACUAAUUAAAGCUUUAAGGAGCUCCAAUGCUUCGCCUCCCAACAAUCUGGAUUUGGAGAAGCCUCUUAGCUGUACAAGGUUGAUUCUAUUCAGAAUCAGUUGCCCUACAAAUGCAGUCCCACAUAUAGAAGCAUCCUUAGCUGUUGUUGCAACAAAAAGAACAUGACAGAUUUUCAAUGUUUGCCUCACAAACAACAAAGAUAGCAUGGCAGUCCACCCUUGUCUCUCUGCAAAAUAUGUUGAUCUUACGAGGUGCUUUCAUAUUCCAGUUCUCAUUGUUCAACACCAUCAAGUUGUUCAACACAUCAUACAUUACAUUAAGGCCAACCCAGGUUAAGGAAUGUUUUUUGCUGCUGAUAUUAACAUUCAGAGGAAGGUCUUCAAUGACUUUGAUUAGGCUUCAUGUUUAAAAACUAGGCGUUCUACUACUGGUUUCUGCCGAUUUCUUAGUGCUAUCUUGAAAGUCUAAAAGGAAAACUACUGUGUCUUGGUCCUCCUCCAGAGUUGAGUAUCUUACAUUGUGACAUCAAGUUACACAUCAGUAAUAAACGCUUUCCUUCCCGGUGCUACCUUACUGUUACAGAGAUGGGCUACUGUUAUGAGUGGAUUCUGUAUCAUUUCCAAUCAAUCAAUGUUGAUUUAAUGCUUGUGUCGUGGUAUGCUAGUUGCAAUAUUUCACAUGAAAUAUUGUUAAUGAGCAAUCAGCUUUGGAAUCUUGUUGUGGUUUGAGAGAUUUAUUUUCUCAUUGCAGUUUGGAAUAGUUUUGAAUCUGGUUUGUUUCAACAAGUGAGGUAGUUAAGUGUUUUUGU
RNA transcript from Vigna angularis (adzuki bean), 2989 nucleotides. It is a transcript of the gene named BES1/BZR1 homolog protein 2, with no coding region annotated. NCBI's taxonomy places the organism in Eukaryota, Viridiplantae, Streptophyta, Magnoliopsida, Fabales, Fabaceae. The transcript has 7 exons. The record is from RefSeq and is a predicted model, not a curated record.